This 1190-nucleotide long non-coding RNA is filed under the name Sinocyclocheilus grahami. RNAcentral's name for it is "lncRNA (ENSSGRG00000002954.1)". Lineage: Eukaryota; Metazoa; Chordata; Actinopteri; Cypriniformes; Cyprinidae. The record is from RNAcentral.
GGCGAGGAGCACGCACGCGAUGUUCUCGAGGGGGCAAUCUGCGUGCAUUGCGAGUUUUUUCCAAUGAAAAAACUCAGUUCUCGUUUGUCUCUCUUUUCAAGUAAAGAGGGGCAGCCAUCUGCUUCCCGCGGUUCAGGACCCUCCGCUGCUGAGGCACGGAGGAGAAUGAGCUCGUGGGGAUCUCAGGUGGACCUGGCCGAUGAGUUUAGAGAGGGACUUUCCUUCUCGCGCUCAUCGGCGGGGGGCGAGAGACAGCCACUGGAGGAUGAUUUUCUCUCUUUAACAUCAUCUGAUCCAGGGGCCAGUGCUCUGCUGGGUUCAGCCCAGGAAGAGCAGGAAAUGGAUGAUGAGAGCGAAGAAGCUGAGGCUGAGCCUUCUCAAUCCUCCUGCCCUGCGUAUGAUGAGCUCUUAGAGGUUAUGGAUCGCGCCACGGCAAGACUUGACUUGCCAUGGAAGCGGACUAAGGAAGUGGCGUCGCGAGGUCGUCUCGACGAACGUUAUCUUUCUGGCCAUAACCCUCCAGCUCAGGUGAGUCUCCCUUUCCUUCCUGAUCUCCAUACUGAGAUCGAGAAGGAAUGGAAGAAGCCGUUUUCCUCACGCAUCCAUCGGUUUCAGCAUACCAGUUAUGCGAAUAUCGAGGCGGUGCGCGAAAACGGCUAUGAGAGAAUGCCCCCUGUAGAAGAGACGCUAGCUAGCUAUCUCUCUAUGGGAGAGACAUCAUCUCUCAAAACUCCCUCCUUGCCAUCCAUGCCUCUUCAAGCUACAUCUAAAAUGAAUGGCAAGGCAUACGCAGCAGCAGCAGGUCAGGCUGUUGCUUCACUGCACACGAUGGCGGUGCUCCAAGCAUACCAGGCUGAUCUGCUGAAAGACCUGGAUAAAGGCGAGGGCCUUUCUUCUGAUGAGAUGGCUGAGUUACGCCGCACCACGGAUCUUGCUCUUCGUGCUACUAAGCAGGCUGCCUCUGCCAUGGGCAGAUCUAUGGCAGCGAUGGUAGUAACGGAGAGGCAGCUGUGGGUAAACCUGGCAGACAUCGGGAAGAAAGAAAGGGGUUUUCUUCUCGAUGCCCCGGUUUCGCCCUCUGAACUUUUUGGUACAUCCGUUGAGACGGUCAUCGAAAAGUUCAGGGAGGCGAAGGCACGCUCAGCGGCCUUCAAAACCUUCAUUCCACGAAGGUCCAGGUCUGAGCCCGA